Molecule: ribosomal RNA, 586 nt
Filed under: Meyerozyma guilliermondii
Lineage: Eukaryota; Fungi; Ascomycota; Pichiomycetes; Serinales; Debaryomycetaceae
Description: partial 28S ribosomal RNA
Rfam family: Eukaryotic large subunit ribosomal RNA
Source: RNAcentral
CGGAGGAAAAGAAACCAACAGGGAUUGCCUUAGUAGCGGCGAGUGAAGCGGCAAAAGCUCAAAUUUGAAAUCUGGCGCCUUCGGUGUCCGAGUUGUAAUUUGAAGAUUGUAACCUUGGGGUUGGCUCUUGUCUAUGUUUCUUGGAACAGGACGUCACAGAGGGUGAGAAUCCCGUGCGAUGAGAUGCCCAAUUCUAUGUAAGGUGCUUUCGAAGAGUCGAGUUGUUUGGGAAUGCAGCUCUAAGUGGGUGGUAAAUUCCAUCUAAAGCUAAAUAUUGGCGAGAGACCGAUAGCGAACAAGUACAGUGAUGGAAAGAUGAAAAGAACUUUGAAAAGAGAGUGAAAAAGUACGUGAAAUUGUUGAAAGGGAAGGGUUUGAGAUCAGACUCGAUAUUUUGUGAGCCUUGCCUUCGUGGCGGGGUGACCCGCAGCUUAUCGGGCCAGCAUCGGUUUGGGCGGUAGGAUAAUGGCGUAGGAAUGUGACUUUACUUCGGUGAAGUGUUAUAGCCUGCGUUGAUGCUGCCUGCCUAGACCGAGGACUGCGAUUUUAUCAAGGAUGCUGGCAUAAUGAUCCCAAACCGCCCGUC